UCUGGGGGCAAAAUUCAGGGAAGCGCGCGACAACAUUCGAAACGGCGCGAGUAGGCGGCGCCAAAUCAGCCACAAUCGCGCUGAGCUCACUUCCUUUUUAUUCGGGGGUCGCGUGCUUUUGUCUCCAUUUUCAUUUCGACAGUCAACGCGCCGCAACAGGAGAGCCCCGCCGUCCUCGUCAUCAGCCGCGCGGUACCAGCGAGAGCUGUUCAUGCAAAGCACUAAAAUUAAUCUGCGUGAAGAAGUGGAUAUUUUUACUCACCGCUUACAUAACAGGACUAUAUUUUCAUUUGUUGUUUCCUUUUUUGCUUACACGAAGACUGUUUCUAUUGAACAAUUGAUUCAGAUUUUUCCAUUACUAACUGUCUGAUUAACACUCAAAAUGGAGAAUCAAGAAAGCAAGUACCUCCCGGAGCUUCUCGCGGAGAAGGACAGUUUGGAUGCAUCGUUUACGCACGCAAUGAAACUUUUAUCUGCAGAAAUCGAGAGAAUCCAGAAAGGGGAGCCCAAGAAGGACGGAGGGGACACGUACCUGGACCUGUUCACCGUCAAGAACAUCAAACUGAAGGAGCGAGUGCUGAUACCGGUCAAACAGUAUCCCAAGUUCAACUUUGUGGGGAAGAUUCUAGGCCCUCAGGGCAACACAAUCAAACGCCUUCAAGAAGAGACUGGCGCCAAGAUCUCAGUACUUGGGAAGGGCUCAAUGAGGGACAAGGCCAAGGAGGAGGGUCUGAGGAAAGGCGGCGAGCCCAAGUACGCCCACCUGACCAUGGAGCUCCACGUGUUCAUUGAGGUGUUUGCUCCGGUCCCCGACGCCUAUCUGCGCAUGGCGCACGCCAUGGAGGAGGUCAAGAAGUUUCUCUUCCCGGACAUGAUGGACGACAUCUGUCAGGAGCAGUUCAUGGAGAUGGGUUAUCUGAACGGCGGCCAGGAGCUCGUGCCAGGCGCUCCACGGGGCAGAGCGGGGCCGUUGGGUCCUAGAGGUCGGGGAGGGCCGCCCGGACAACCUGGAACACCUAGGGGCAGGGGUAUGCCUCCGCGAGGAGGUGCCACCAGGGGGGUUGUAACCCGCGGUGGGCCAGCCAGAGGCGGGGUAGCGAGGGGGGCGUCGGCAGGCCGCGGGGGACCUCCAGCUGCCCCGGGCCGAGGUACCGCAGCCCCCCGGGCCAGACCCCCUGCUCCUGGGGGACCAGCGAGGAUGCCCCCUCCACCCUCCCACCAGCAGCACCAGCACGCUGCGGCCACUGAACAAUACGAGGAAUAUACCUAUGAGGAGAGCUACACGGAGCCAGCAUACGAGUCAUACGACAGUUACUACAGCCAACCACAGGCAGAGCCGGAAUACUACGACUACGGGCAUGGAGAGACACAGGAAGCAUAUGAGCCCUAUGCCCAGGACGACUGGAACGGGAACCAGAGGGCAGCCUCAGGGGGAAAGGCCCCCCCCGCCCGAGCGACUAAGGGCCCUUACCGAGAACACCCCUAUAGACAGUACUGACCUCUCCAUGACAACGCCUGCCUAGUGACCAACACAACCACCGCUUACGGGCUGUCCCGGCAACCACCAACCUGUCGACCACAGCAGCUCUCGCUUUAAGCAACCCUCGACAAAAGACCCUGAGGUAAGACCUCUUAAAUAACCUGGAUAGCUUCCUAAUGUGUAUAGCGCUCUAUGGCAUUGAAUGCCUGGGUAUGUAUCAACACUUUUUCAAUCCAUCUAUCCUGUGGUAUUAGUCGGCAAUGAGAAAUGCUUUGCUAGAAACACCUGUUAGUAAAUUAACUGAACUCAAACCAUUUAAGUCUUAGAUUUCAGGGUUUUUACCCGAUGUUGAUGUCAUGUGUUGAGGCUCGAAGGUUAGUAAAGAGUGUAAUGGCAGUUCACUAGGGGAGAUGGUUUUAACUGUAAUCACUCCACUAUAAAGGUAACCCCAACCCUAAAUGUGUAAUUUGGUAGUGUGUUUAUACAUUGAAUUAAUCUUCUGGUAAAUGCGUGCAAUUUAGUUAAAGAAGAAUUCUAGUCAUGUUAAAAAAAAAAAGACUAAUAAAAAGUAAUGAAAAACGUAACUUCCAAUAUUAUUCUAGUUCUAGAUUUCAUUUUCUAAAAUAACUGUUCUGUAUACUAACAAAAUACCCAACAGUAGAAUAGUAUUAAUGCAACUCUUGCUAAAAUGAAAAUCUGCAAAGCCGAAUCUAUAUCAAUAUCCUGACCAGUUAAGCUGCUGCUACUUUUUCUUUGCAAUAUCGGUGUAAGUGUUUCUACAUAUUACAAUGAUUAAGAUUUUUUACUUGUAGAGAGUAAUGUCAAAAAGCCUGAGUUGCAUGCCUACAACUCUAUAGACGUUGCAUGAUCUUGAAUGAACCCGCUCGGGUUUUUCCACUCGUUGCUGAUUUGCGGUGUCUUCCCGCAGGCCCAGACCAGAUAUGGGUCAGUGAAGGAGGCUGGCUUACUGGGAAGACGAGCGUGGCUCACUGCAGGGAAGAGGCACUGUUUAUCUCAGCAGCAUUACAGGACAUUUCCGGAGCUUCGCCUUGGGGUCCACGGUGAAGACGGACCCAGUGCAGAGCACCACUCCUGGGGAAUGCCUGGAAGGAUAACAGGAUGCCCAGAGGAUCUGGGAGCAGACCUAUGGGGAAAAAGAACCAAGCUGAUUCUAGUAACAGCCUAGCCAAGCUAUGAGGCAUCUUAUCAAGAUCUGGAACAGCACAGGGGGAUGGACUUGAGCCUCUUAAAUGAGCUAGUACACCUUGUGGGAAAUUACACCAACAGGCUAUCCUGAUAUUACUAGGGAACACUCUGAGCCAGGGCAGCCUACAGUAGGCAGUGAAUGCAUUUUUGCAUUUGCCCCCGCAUGGGAAUCAAACCCACAACACUCGCAUUGCAAGUGCCAUGGUCUGCCAACUGAGCCACACAGAACAUAAAUGACUCUACAUUUGAGUGAAUGGUUGUUUGAAACCGUAUUUCCCGUUUACUGUUAUAGCACUUUCAAUACUGAGCGCAAAUGUAAUAGUUUUCUCUAGAAACUACCGUCUCUAGUAAAAGGAACUUUGUAAAUCUAUGAAAAUAUAUACGCCAUGAAUAUGACCACCCAAGCUGCAACCAGCUGUGAAAUUGGUUUCAAUUUCCCUUCAAUUACUUAUCUUUUCUUUGGGUUGACUGCAUUUUUACUUAUUGCAAGGCGAGCUGUAUUUUGCACCUCACAGACACUAAGUCUAGAGAAGGUUCAAUGGACUCCUUUAACAGACCCAGCCCCUGUCCACAUCUGUUCCUUUGUCUCCAUGGUAAAUUACCAUGGUAAAUUUGUCUCUGUGCUUGUGAACCCAAGGCGCCCCCGAGAGUGAGUCUGUUUCGUGCGAUGCGUUCGCUGCCUGACAUGUUGUUCACACACUGGAUAUCACCCUGACACGCACGUACACGUGCACACGCCCGGGCAUUUAACACCCCGCGUUGCCCUCAGGACAUGAGAUGCUAAUGUGAAACGCAUUUGCAUGUACUUUCCACCUAAAUAUGCAAAGCUUUUGGAACGAACAUUGGCUUUCUCACCUCACUUCGUCGUCCAAGUAUGGUAAUGCCUGCUGAGAUCUGGCCGUGAGGGAGAAGUGUCUAAGAGAUGCGGCAAGAUGGCCAGCAUUAUCUCCGUUGCCUUGGCGGCUGACUCCUGGUGUGUGUGUGUGUGUGUGUGGGAUUUUCAUGUGUGUGUCAAUACAGUGACACUGCAUUACUGAAUUAAACCAAAGAACCAUUCAGUCACACUGUCCCCCUCUGUGUAGCUAAAUCGGCAUCAGUCAAUUCUGGGUCCUAAACGGAUCACUGUUCUUUUUUUAUAGUGCACUAUUUUGACUAGGGCCCCUUAAGGAGGAGAGUACCAGUUGGGACAUAGCCCCCCUCUGCACCUCCAUUUAACAAUCUGAAGAUUGGAGGUUUAGCAGACACGUCGGACGAUCACAGAAAUGGAUGCAUAACGGAAUGAAAACGUCCCCCAAUGUUGAUGGCUUUCCAGCAAUGUUUUGUUUUUCCCAUCAGCAAGGUUGCCCAGUUGAUUUCAUUUGGGCAUUUUAUCUGGGUUGAAUUGGCUCGUCUGAGUCAUUGGGUGGUUGAAAUGGUUCUGAUGUAAAAUGAAAAUGCAAAACGGAAUGGUACGCGUUGCCUCGCCAACCAUGUUGACAGACUGUGAAUUACCUUGUCAGAUUUUAUGUUUUUGCGUUCUUAUAAAGACUAUAUUCCACCAAACUAUAUUCAAUAAAAGUGACUGUUUUCAAGUUA
Molecule: RNA transcript, 4261 nt
Organism: Esox lucius (northern pike)
Lineage: Eukaryota; Metazoa; Chordata; Actinopteri; Esociformes; Esocidae
Gene: khdrbs1b
Gene name: KH domain containing, RNA binding, signal transduction associated 1b
Exons: 11
Source: RefSeq, a predicted model, not a curated record